Molecule: ribosomal RNA, 795 nt
Filed under: Streptomyces albidoflavus
Lineage: Bacteria; Bacillati; Actinomycetota; Actinomycetes; Kitasatosporales; Streptomycetaceae
Description: bacterial SSU rRNA
Source: RNAcentral
CAUGCAGUCGAACGAUGAACCGCUUUCGGGCGGGGAUUAGUGGCGAACGGGUGAGUAACACGUGGGCAAUCUGCCCUGCACUCUGGGACAAGCCCUGGAAACGGGGUCUAAUACCGGAUAUGACUGUCCAUCGCAUGGUGGAUGGUGUAAAGCUCCGGCGGUGCAGGAUGAGCCCGCGGCCUAUCAGCUUGUUGGUGAGGUAGUGGCUCACCAAGGCGACRACGGGUAGCCGGCCUGAGAGGGCGACCGGCCACACUGGGACUGAGACACGGCCCAGACUCCUACGGGAGGCAGCAGUGGGGAAUAUUGCACAAUGGGCGAAAGCCUGAUGCAGCGACGCCGCGUGAGGGAUGACGGCCUUCGGGUUGUAAACCUCUUUCAGCAGGGAAGAAGCGAAAGUGACGGUACCUGCAGAAGAAGCGCCGGCUAACUACGUGCCAGCAGCCGCGGUAAUACGUAGGGCGCAUGCGUUGUCCGGAAUUAUUGGGCGUAAAGAGCUCGUAGGCGGCUUGUCACGUCGGUUGUGAAAGCCCGGGGCUUAACCCCGGGUCUGCAGUCGAUACGGGCAGGCUAGAGUUCGGUAGGGGAGAUCGGAAUUCCUGGUGUAGCGGUGAAAUGCGCAGAUAUCAGGAGGAACACCGGUGGCGAAGGCGGAUCUCUGGGCCGAUACUGACGCUGAGGAGCGAAAGCGUGGGGAGCGAACAGGAUUAGAUACCCUGGUAGUCCACGCCGUAAACGGUGGGCACUAGGUGUGGGCAACAUUCCACGUUGUCCGUGCCGCAGCUAACGCAUUAA